UCUCUCCCCCCAUCGAGUCGACUGUGUUUGCAUAUCAUCCGGUGUGAGAGGAGUUCCUUCCUUCCUUCAUAAGCUCGCUGAUGGCUUAGUCAACGUAGAAUAUGACGAGAUUAAGGGCUUCUUCGGACAAGCAACUACAGAGUAUCUCACUGCAUUUGGAGUCUACGUGAUGCUGGCUUAGUCAACCCUUGUGUGUCAUGAUGAAUAAGGAUGCCACUGUCAGUUAUUGGCAUUUAUGUUUGAAUUGGGUGUCAGCUUAAGGAGUUUGAAAUAAAGUCUAUCUUAUUAAUACUA
This is a long non-coding RNA of Musa acuminata AAA Group (dessert banana), 294 nucleotides long. RefSeq lists it as uncharacterized. The transcript has 2 exons. NCBI's taxonomy places the organism in Eukaryota, Viridiplantae, Streptophyta, Magnoliopsida, Zingiberales, Musaceae. The record is from RefSeq and is a predicted model, not a curated record.